GACGAACGCUGGCGGCGUGCCUAAUACAUGCAAGUCGAACGCACGAAGUUGAAGAGCUUGCUCUUUAACCAAGUGAGUGGCGGACGGGUGAGUAACACGUGGGUAACCUGCCCAUUAGAGGGGGAUAACAUUCGGAAACGGAUGCUAAUACCGCAUAGUUUCAGGRAUCGCAUGAUUCUUGAAGGAAAGGUGGCUUCGGCUACCACUAAUGGAUGGACCCGCGGCGUAUUAGCUAGUUGGUGAGGUAAUGGCUCACCAAGGCAAUGAUACGUAGCCGACCUGAGAGGGUGAUCGGCCACACUGGGACUGAGACACGGCCCAGACUCCUACGGGAGGCAGCAGUAGGGAAUCUUCCGCAAUGGACGAAAGUCUGACGGAGCAACGCCGCGUGAGUGAAGAAGGUUUUCGGAUCGUAAAACUCUGUUGUUAAAGAAGAACAAGGAUGAGAGUAACUGCUCAUCCCCUGACGGUAUUUAACCAGAAAGCCACGGCUAACUACGUGCCAGCAGCCGCGGUAAUACGUAGGUGGCAAGCGUUGUCCGGAUUUAUUGGGCGUAAAGCGAGCGCAGGCGGUUCUUUAAGUCUGAUGUGAAAGCCCCCGGCUCAACCGGGGAGGGUCAUUGGAAACUGGAGAACUUGAGUGCAGAAGAGGAGAGUGGAAUUCCACGUGUAGCGGUGAAAUGCGUAGAUAUGUGGAGGAACACCAGUGGCGAAGGCGACUCUCUGGUCUGUAACUGACGCUGAGGCUCGAAAGCGUGGGGAGCAAACAGGAU
RNAcentral lists this ribosomal RNA (773 nucleotides) under Carnobacterium maltaromaticum. Its description in RNAcentral is "bacterial SSU rRNA". It matches the Rfam family "Bacterial small subunit ribosomal RNA", at positions 28 to 778 of the family's 1533-position model. The record is from RNAcentral. Lineage: Bacteria; Bacillati; Bacillota; Bacilli; Lactobacillales; Carnobacteriaceae.